UACGAAGGGGGCUAGCGUUGCUCGGAAUUACUGGGCGUAAAGCGCGUGUAGGCGGGCCCCCAAGUCGGACGUGAAAGCCCUGAGCUCAACUCAGGAACUGCAUCCGAAACUGAGGGCCUGGAGUAGUGGAGAGGGAAGCAGAAUUCCUGGUGUAGAGGUGAAAUUCGUAGAUAUCAGGAGGAACACCGGUGGCGAAGGCGGCUUCCUGGACACCUACUGACGCUGAGACGCGAAAGCGUGGGGAGCAAACAGG
This 253-nucleotide ribosomal RNA is filed under the name uncultured bacterium. RNAcentral's name for it is "partial 16S ribosomal RNA". It matches the Rfam family "Bacterial small subunit ribosomal RNA", at positions 524 to 776 of the family's 1533-position model. The record is from RNAcentral.